UGGGGAAUAUUGGACAAUGGGCGCAAGCCUGAUCCAGCCAUGCCGCGUGCAGGAUGACGGUCCUAUGGAUUGUAAACUGCUUUUGCACAGGAAGAAACAACGCUACGUGUAGCGUCUUGACGGUACUGUGAGAAUAAGGAUCGGCUAACUCCGUGCCAGCAGCCGCGGUAAUACGGAGGAUCCAAGCGUUAUCCGGAAUCAUUGGGUUUAAAGGGUCCGUAGGCGGUUUAGUAAGUCAGUGGUGAAAGCCCAUCGCUCAACGGUGGAACGGCCAUUGAUACUGCUAGACUUGAAUUAUUAGGAAGUAACUAGAAUAUGUAGUGUAGCGGUGAAAUGCUUAGAGAUUACAUGGAAUACCAAUUGCGAAGGCAGGUUACUACUAAUUGAUUGACGCUGAUGGACGAAAGCGUGGGUAGCGAACAGGAUUAGAUACCCCUGUAGUCCCUGAGCGGGCUGGCAAGGCG
Molecule: ribosomal RNA, 464 nt
Filed under: uncultured bacterium
Lineage: Bacteria
Description: bacterial SSU rRNA
Rfam family: Bacterial small subunit ribosomal RNA
Source: RNAcentral